This 1231-nucleotide long non-coding RNA is filed under the name Equus caballus (horse). RNAcentral's name for it is "lncRNA (ENSECAG00000053417.1)". The record is from RNAcentral. Lineage: Eukaryota; Metazoa; Chordata; Mammalia; Perissodactyla; Equidae.
AAAUACGUGAUAGGAGGGUGGAGUCCCGUACAAGGGGAGAGGAAGAACUGGCGGUGCCACUGCAAGCAGCGGUUACAGCAGUCAGCCCAACAGUUGAGACCGUGCACAGAUGCAUGCAAGGAGACUGUGGAAAGAGCAGGAUCUCCUUUCCUUUCCAGAAGGGCACUUAGAUGGAUGAAAGGAGAAUUGCAUACUCUCAGAUUUCAAUCCACUGGUGUUGAAGAAUAGAGAAGCCUACAGAUUCUGAUGAUGGAUUCCAAGUGUAAAGAGAAGCAGAAGCCAAUGGCACUGAAUCAACUGGAACUCCCAAUAGCAGAAUAUGAGAGUUGCCGUUUCUCUACAUCCUUGCCAACACCGACUAUUGGCAAUGGUGUAACUCUAGCCAUUACGAAAGAGAAGGAUGAAGAAGUGGAGGCGGAGAAGAAAAAGAAGAAGAAGAAGCAGGAGCAGCAGGAGGAGGAGGAGAAGGAGAAGAGAAAUGAGAGAAGGAGGAAGAGGAAGAAAAGGAAGAAGAAGAGGGAAGAAAAGGAAGAGGAAGAGGAAUAGAAAGAUGAGCAGAAGGAGGAAGGAGAAAGGAGAAGGAGAAGGAGAAAAAGAGAAGCUUAGGAAAAACCAUGGACUUCAUAAGGGAACGUGGCUGAGAUGAAAAGGACAAUAAGAAUGCUCACCCAGGAAGGACUUUUGGCUCUAGCAUGUCUAUUUCUGUUUGCAUCAAGGCCAGUUGUAUUUCAGUUCCUGCCCUUGGAGCCUGUGAAAAGUCUAUACUGUAACAAUUUACUUACUCCUGCAUUGUGCUUGAAUUAUUUUGGGCGAGUUUCAACUUUUCUGUAACUAAAGCCUUAAGGAAAAUGUAUCCUAAUUACGGGGAGUUGAUAGAGAGAGAUUUAAGAAAUAUGGCUAAAUUUUUGCAUUUGAUGGACUAGAUACUGGGAGGAGGACAAGGGCCAAGUCAAGAUAUAUCCUAAUACGUCAUCCUAGGAAUUUGGGCUAUGGGGAUCAUUGAAAAUUUUUAUGGAACAUGGAAUUUUUAUGAGUAACAUGUUUUGAUAUGCAUUUUAGAGAGUUCACUCUGGAGAAUGGAAUUGGAGCUAGGCAAGACCAGAGGUUGAAAGAGCAAUUAACUGAGGUAAAAUGAAGCUCUAAAGUGAGGCUAAGAACAAAAAGAAGGAAAGAUUUAUCAUAAACAGAACAAAAAGCAAAUAUGUUUCUCAUAUAAAGAGUUCCUAUAGGG